RNAcentral lists this ribosomal RNA (445 nucleotides) under uncultured bacterium. RNAcentral describes it as "partial 16S ribosomal RNA". It matches the Rfam family "Bacterial small subunit ribosomal RNA", at positions 354 to 796 of the family's 1533-position model. The record is from RNAcentral.
GUGAGGAAUAUUGCGCAAUGGAGGCAACUCUGACGCAGCCAUGCCGCGUGCAGGAAGAAGGCGCUACGCGUUGUAAACUGCUUUUAACCGGGAAGAAACCCCAGGACGUGUCCUGGGUUGACGGUACCGGAGGAAUAAGCACCGGCUAACUUCGUGCCAGCAGCCGCGGUAAUACGAAGGGUGCAAGCGUUAUCCGGAUUCAUUGGGUUUAAAGGGUGCGUAGGCGGAGCGUUAAGUCAGUGGUGAAAUCCUGCAGCUUAACUGUAGACUUGCCAUUGAUACUGGAGCUCUUGAGUGCGCUUGAAGUGGGCGGAAUGUGCCGUGUAGCGGUGAAAUGCUUAGAUAUGGCACAGAACACCAAUUGCGAAGGCAGCUCACUAAGGCGAUACUGACGCUGAGGCACGAAAGCGUGGGGAGCAAACAGGAUUAGAAACCCGAGUAGUCC